RNAcentral lists this ribosomal RNA (253 nucleotides) under uncultured bacterium. RNAcentral describes it as "partial 16S ribosomal RNA". It matches the Rfam family "Bacterial small subunit ribosomal RNA", at positions 524 to 776 of the family's 1533-position model. The record is from RNAcentral.
UACGUAGGGGGCUAGCGUUGUCCGGAAUCAUUGGGCGUAAAGAGCGUGUAGGCGGUCCGGUAAGUCCGCUGUGAAAGUCGGGGGCUCAACCCUCGAAUGCCGGUGGAUACUGUCGGGCUAGAGUGCGGAAGAGGCGAGUGGAAUUCCUGGUGUAGCGGUGAAAUGCGCAGAUAUCAGGAGGAACACCUAUUGCGAAGGCAGCUCGCUGGGACGUAACUGACGCUGAGGAGCGAAAGUGUGGGGAGCGAACAGG